ACUUAAAUUGAAGAGUUUGAUCAUGGCUCAGAUUGAACGCUGGCGGCAGGCCUAACACAUGCAAGUCGAGCGGUAGCACAGAGAGCUUGCUCUCGGGUGACGAGCGGCGGACGGGUGAGUAAUGUCUGGGAAACUGCCUGAUGGAGGGGGAUAACUACUGGAAACGGUAGCUAAUACCGCAUAAUGUCGCAAGACCAAAGUGGGGGACCUUCGGGCCUCAUGCCAUCAGAUGUGCCCAGAUGGGAUUAGCUGGUAGGUGGGGUAACGGCUCACCUAGGCGACGAUCCCUAGCUGGUCUGAGAGGAUGACCAGCCACACUGGAACUGAGACACGGUCCAGACUCCUACGGGAGGCAGCAGUGGGGAAUAUUGCACAAUGGGCGCAAGCCUGAUGCAGCCAUGCCGCGUGUGUGAAGAAGGCCUUCGGGUUGUAAAGCACUUUCAGCGGGGAGGAAGGCGUUAAGGUUAAUAACCUUGGCGAUUGACGUUACCCGCAGAAGAAGCACCGGCUAACUCCGUGCCAGCAGCCGCGGUAAUACGGAGGGUGCAAGCGUUAAUCGGAAUUACUGGGCGUAAAGCGCACGCAGGCGGUCUGUCAAGUCGGAUGUGAAAUCCCCGGGCUCAACCUGGGAACUGCAUUCGAAACUGGCAGGCUAGAGUCUUGUAGAGGGGGGUAGAAUUCCAGGUGUAGCGGUGAAAUGCGUAGAGAUCUGGAGGAAUACCGGUGGCGAAGGCGGCCCCCUGGACAAAGACUGACGCUCAGGUGCGAAAGCGUGGGGAGCAAACAGGAUUAGAUACCCUGGUAGUCCACGCCGUAAACGAUGUCGAUUUGGAGGUUGUGCCCUUGAGGCGUGGCUUCCGGAGCUAACGCGUUAAAUCGACCGCCUGGGGAGUACGGCCGCAAGGUUAAAACUCAAAUGAAUUGACGGGGGCCCGCACAAGCGGUGGAGCAUGUGGUUUAAUUCGAUGCAACGCGAAGAACCUUACCUGGUCUUGACAUCCACAGAACUUUCCAGAGAUGGAUUGGUGCCUUCGGGAACUGUGAGACAGGUGCUGCAUGGCUGUCGUCAGCUCGUGUUGUGAAAUGUUGGGUUAAGUCCCGCAACGAGCGCAACCCUUAUCCUUUGUUGCCAGCGGUUAGGCCGGGAACUCAAAGGAGACUGCCAGUGAUAAACUGGAGGAAGGUGGGGAUGACGUCAAGUCAUCAUGGCCCUUACGACCAGGGCUACACACGUGCUACAAUGGCAUAUACAAAGAGAAGCGACCUCGCGAGAGCAAGCGGACCUCAUAAAGUAUGUCGUAGUCCGGAUUGGAGUCUGCAACUCGACUCCAUGAAGUCGGAAUCGCUAGUAAUCGUAGAUCAGAAUGCUACGGUGAAUACGUUCCCGGGCCUUGUACACACCGCCCGUCACACCAUGGGAGUGGGUUGCAAAAGAAGUAGGUAGCUUAACCUUCGGGAGGGCGCUUACCACUUUGUGAUUCAUGACUGGGGUGAAGUCGUAACAAGGUAACCGUAGGGGAACCUGCGGUUGGAUCACCUCCUUACCUUAAAGAA
Molecule: ribosomal RNA, 1554 nt
Filed under: Klebsiella variicola
Lineage: Bacteria; Pseudomonadati; Pseudomonadota; Gammaproteobacteria; Enterobacterales; Enterobacteriaceae
Description: bacterial SSU rRNA
Rfam family: Bacterial small subunit ribosomal RNA
Source: RNAcentral